Molecule: ribosomal RNA, 305 nt
Filed under: uncultured bacterium
Lineage: Bacteria
Description: bacterial SSU rRNA
Rfam family: Bacterial small subunit ribosomal RNA
Source: RNAcentral
UGAGGCCUACGGGACGCAGCAGUGAGGAAUAUUGGUCAAUGGGAGAGAUCCUGAACCAGCCAAGCCGCGUGAGGGAAGACGGCCCUAUGGGUUGUAAACCUCUUUUGUCGGAGAACAAAACCCGGGACGUGUCCCGGACUGCGUGUAUCCGGAGAAAAAGCAUCGGCUAACUCCGUGCCAGCAGCCGCGGUAAUACGGAGGAUGCGAGCGUUAUCCGGAUUUAUUGGGUUUAAAGGGUGCGCAGGCGGAAGAUCAAGUCAGCGGUAAAAUUGAGAGGCUCAACCUCUUCGAGCCGUUGAAACUGG